UGGGAUGUGGCUCAGUGGAAAAGCACUUGCCUAGCAUGCAUGAGGCUCUGGGUUUUAUCCCCAGCACUGCAA
Molecule: transfer RNA, 72 nt
Filed under: Marmota monax (woodchuck)
Lineage: Eukaryota; Metazoa; Chordata; Mammalia; Rodentia; Sciuridae
Rfam family: tRNA
About the family: Transfer RNA (tRNA) molecules are approximately 80 nucleotides in length. Their secondary structure includes four short double-helical elements and three loops (D, anti-codon, and T loops).
Source: Rfam by way of RNAcentral